GACUGAUUGCCUCGAUAUUAUCUAGAAUUAAAGAUUUUCUUUCUGAGUAUGGUAUAAUAUCACGUAUAUAGAUAGCUACACCACCUCCAUGUCUAAUUCUAUCAUGUCUAACUAGGUCAUAUCCGUGUAUUUCGACUUCUGAUUUUUUUAUUGUUUGGUUAGUUUGGUUUUAUUGUUUGGUUAUUGAAUGUUCCCCGUUUAGGUAGUUUCACGGAUCGCCAGCCCAGCAAAGGUGUAUAAAGACUGCCGUUACCCAAAUGAUGGCUGUGCAGUGUUUUGUCAAAAGCGUGGGACAAGUCAAAUCUCACUAGACGAUAACAUCCAGGGCCCAGUUGAGUUACAGACUUUUCUCAGUGCCUUCAACUCUCCAAAAACUUUUUCUUCUGCAGUGGCGUAGCCAAGGAGGAGCGAGGGGGGCCACCGCCCCCUCCCCCCCCAAUUGCCACAAAAACCAUUCUCUCAAAAAGCCUAAAUCCAUAGAGAAAUUGGGAGGGGGGGGAUACAUGUUACAUUUUCGAAGUUAAAACUAAGUUUCCAUCUAAGACAACGACGAUUUACUGGAGGAACUUAGUGUGUGAAAUUUCGUUAAAGCAUUUGUAUAUAUAAUUCCAAGAAGAAUGGAUUUAGUUUAGAUUUUCGACUGUUAAAUUGGCAUGUAUAUCAUUACAACAUCGAAUAUCUUUUCUCAAAUUUGUUAUGUAUGCCAUGUAUCUUAGUAUAAAAAGUAAUGCAAUUUUGAGAAUGCGAGACAUGCGUCUCGUACAAUUAUCUAAAUGCAAAAUUUCCGAUCAAAAUUACAUUGGGAUUGUCUUCGCCCCCUCCCCCCACCUCGAAGAUCGGCAUUACGCACAGAAGGAAAAUAAGCUCACACGGACUCCUCUUCCAGUUUUUUAACGUGACUUUUCUAUGCAAUACAUUUAGAUCCGAUAAAAAAUAUCUGGUAAAAAAUCAUGUCUUUGAUGCACUUUAUUAUCCUCGGAAUUCUGCAAAAUUUUACCCCCAAAAUGCUUCAAAUCGCAUUUGUGGGACUGUAGAUUUUAAAUCUUGCAAUCUCACGCCAUUGCCGUUCGCUUCGCGCGCCUCCCCCCCCCCAGCCAACAAAAAAAUAUAGAGCUAUUGUUACGCCACUGACAAAUAGUAACGGGCGAUACCAGGAUUUUUAGUUCGAUACCGAUACUUUUAAAAUCGAUACCAAAAUAAACACAAAAUUUUAAUUUUUGAUAACGGAAGUGAUUACUUAAAUUGCCAGUAUCGGCUACUUUCGAUAUCUGCCUGUCAGCGGAAAAAACAUUUUACAUUACCAUAUGUAACCUAAAUAAAACUAUAAGUAAACCAACAACCCAAAACGUAAUAGAUAUUUUCUAUACAUGACUUGGCGCACCACAUUUGGAAUAUUCAACCAAGAAUUAGUAAAAUGAAACAAGUCGUUCAAAAAAGGGUGCAUACCGAUA
Paramuricea clavata is the source of this 1451-nucleotide non-coding RNA. The record is from the annotation of a GenBank genome assembly. NCBI's taxonomy places the organism in Eukaryota, Metazoa, Cnidaria, Anthozoa, Malacalcyonacea, Plexauridae.